CUCUGUGUGUUUGCAUAUGUGUCCUUCCUCUCUGCUCCCAGCCGUUAAGAGGCCAGUGUUGAUCAGUGGCUGUCCAGGCCUUUCAGAGCCACUGACACGCCGGCAGCACAAUGAGGAUGUCACUGACUCUACUGCUGGCCACCCUGGGGCUCCUUGUUCAGGAUUCAUCAGGAGAAAUCAUCCUGACUCAGUCUCCUAAAGCUCAGUCUGUUGUUCCAGGACAGACUGUCUCUGUCAGAUGUAAAGCCAGUUCAAGUGCUGGUACUUGUCUUAACUGGUACCUUCAGAAACCUGGAGAAUCGCCCAAACUCUUGAUUUAUUAUUCUACAAACCGUCAGUCUGGAGUUUCAGGUCGUUUUAGUGGAAGUGGAUCUGGAACUGACUUCACUCUGACCAUCAGCGGAGUUCAGACUGAAGAUGCAGGAGAUUAUUACUGUCAGCACUGUAACAGCUGGCCGUUCACACAGUGAUAUAACGUCGUACAAAAACCUCCCUCAGCUGAAGAGGAACUGAUCUCAAUCAACAGCUGCAUGGAAACUAAACAGCAACAAGAUACAACUAAAACACACCUCAUAAUUACAUGUAGUUCUAAUAAUGCGGCAUUUAAAAUAAUCAAUCACAUUUUCAUUUUUUUUUCGCACGUUAUUUUUUUUUAGGCAAAGAUGAAUGUUUUAACCUUUGAGUUUGAGUCAACUGAUGUCAAGUCUCUCAUCAGACAGGUUUAUACAGAUAUGUUAGUUACUGUAAUUAUAUCUAGAGUUAAUAAUAUUAUAAAAUUAAUAUUUUCCCACAAUGCAUUGUACAUCUACAGUAGCUGAACACAGUUUACAGAGUAAUAAACUCUCUUUAUAUAUGUGUAGCACCCCAACACUCAGUAAAUGCCUAUGUUAAAGGAACUCACCUUGGACUUGAAUGAUGGGGUGUUUGGGUUCGAUUCAUUAAGGUAGCUACCACGAAGGUUUACCUGUUUUGUGUGCAACUUUUUAUAGCCUAAUACUUUAUGAAUAACCAACAACACUGUUAGACUAAGCAGUGGCUCUAUUCACACAUACUGUACACUAUUUUAAAUAACUGACCCCAGACAACUCUUUCAAAUAAAUAAAAUAAUAUUUUACUAACCAGUGGUUUGCAGUGUAACACAAAUAAUAUUUACUUUGUUAGUUAAGAAGAAACAAAAAUGAAAUAACACAAUUACCCAAAUUAGACUUCUUUAAAAUAAAAAUAUUAUAGUUGAAAUACUAAAUUGUAAACGAAAUACCCUUUACCAAAAUUGGCAAAACACUGUAGAAAAUCAGACACUUGUAAUAAGCAAAAUAGAUUUGGCAAUAUCAAAAUACUAUUCAAAACUUAAAUUAUCUCAGGUCUCUAACAUUCCUAGUUCUUACCACUUUAAUAUGAUUUACCUGUACUCAUCAGACAUCAAAUGCUACUUAACUAAACUCUAAACAAAACAGUGGGCCCACACACACACACACACACACACACACACACACACACACACACACACACACACACACACACACACUGUAUAUAACUAAUAUAAUGUUAAUAAUGUAUAUAUCUUUCAUAUUGUGUAUUGUCUGAAUAUUUCGACUUAUUGUAUUGUAUUUUGAUGCUUUUGCUUUGGCAAAAACUUUCAUGCCAAUAAAGCCCAUUUUGAAUUGAA
Molecule: non-coding RNA, 1666 nt
Organism: Dicentrarchus labrax (European seabass)
Lineage: Eukaryota; Metazoa; Chordata; Actinopteri; Moronidae
Source: the annotation of a RefSeq genome assembly